RNAcentral lists this ribosomal RNA (466 nucleotides) under uncultured bacterium. RNAcentral describes it as "bacterial SSU rRNA". It matches the Rfam family "Bacterial small subunit ribosomal RNA", at positions 331 to 792 of the family's 1533-position model. The record is from RNAcentral.
CCAGACUCCUACGGGAGGCAGCAGUGAGGAAUAUUGGUCAAUGGACGCAAGUCUGAACCAGCCAAGUAGCGUGCAGGAUGACGGCCCUCCGGGUUGUAAACUGCUUUUAGUUGGGAAUAAAAGGGGGCUCGUGAGCCCCGUAUUGUAUGUACCAUCAGAAAAAGGACCGGCUAAUUCCGUGCCAGCAGCCGCGGUAAUACGGAAGGUCCGGGCGUUAUCCGGAUUUAUUGGGUUUAAAGGGAGCGUAGAUGGGUUGUUAAGUCAGUUGUGAAAGUUUGCGGCUCAACCGUAAAAUUGCAAUUGAUACUGGCAGCCUUGAGUACAGUUGAGGUAGGCGGAAUUCGUGGUGUAGCGGUGAAAUGCUUAGAUAUCACGAAGAACUCCGAUUGCGAAGGCAGCAUACCGGCGCCCGACUGACGCUGAAGCACGAAAGCGUGGGUAUCGAACAGGAUUAGAUACCCGUGUA